RNAcentral lists this long non-coding RNA (1264 nucleotides) under Homo sapiens (human). RNAcentral's name for it is "HSALNT0390661". The record is from RNAcentral. Lineage: Eukaryota; Metazoa; Chordata; Mammalia; Primates; Hominidae.
GAACAUUCUAGUUCUUCAUGAGAAAUGGCUGAAUUGAGCUGAUUAAUACAUACAUUAUCUCACACACUUAUUUUUGUGUGAUUUGCGUUGAUUGAAAAGAUGAUAGAGUUGCCUGAUGCAUUCUGAGACCCAUGCAGAGAAUAAAGUAAAUGCAGAUUUGGAUGUGAACAUAAAGGAGGAAAAUGAGAUGAGCGAUAAUGCUGAAAUGCUGAUAGUUCCCGGAGCCUUCACUGUCUUCAUGAUUAGAUCCCUCCAUACUCUCCAUCACUAAUGCCUUGGCUGGAGAUUACCAUUCAGAGACCAUGUACUGAGCAGAUAAAUGCCAAUCAUCACAGCAUUGUCUCAGGCCUAAAUGAAUAAAGGCAUGACACUGAGAUUGAAGGCUAGUUCUACUUCAGAACCACAGAGACAUGAGCACCAGCAAGUUUGAGGUUGGAUAAGGAUCUUCAGAACUCCUCAGCUUCAGAUGGUCAAGCACUGCUUCCUCCCUUCUUCAACGGCAUCUCUAGCAUGUAUACUUCCCUUAAAUCCACCUUCGUAGCAUUUGCUGAUGGAAGAGGCACAACAGAGUCCAUGCCUUCACCUCCUCUGGCCAACUCUAAUCAUGAAUCUCCUGUGAAUCAGCUGGGAAACAUGCAGAAUAUGAGAUUGGGGCCCUCAUUCAUACUAACUGGAAUUUUCCUUGGCAAUGGUAGAACAGAAGCUUCUCCAUUCUUUACAGAUGAAUUUGCUUUAAGUAAGAUCUUCCCAGAGUACAAAAGAAAUUUAUUCGGAAAAUUUCAAACUAAUAUGGCCUUCUCACUGGAACUGGAUCCACCAUCCCUUUUGCUCAGUGUCGUCUUGUUUAUGUUUUAGAUCCUUUGCAAGGUGAGCUACACCUCUGAGAGGAGCUCCUGGAAAUUACCAGAUACUUAAUGUUGCCAGCUGUUACAGAUGGAGGUGAUGCACCUUGAUGAUGCAUAAGUACUGAGCCUGAAUCCUACAAAUGGGAAAAGGUGCUCAUAUCAGACUUAUGCAUUAGAUAUCAAACUACAAAAUACAAGUGCAGUUGAUACCUGUUUAGAUGAUGUAGAGCAAGGUAACAGAGUAUGUAUUAAAAGCAAAAAUUCCCAUGAAGCUGAACCGUUACUCUCUGCCAAAACCUCCCACUCUCAAGUUUUAAGAGCCAAUAAACCUUGUAUCUGUACGUUCAGCUUUGCCUUUUUUUUCCCAGGACUGUAAACCUCUGUCAAGGUUUACCAUGUUUCAUUGAUUUUAUUUUUUC